Long non-coding RNA from Lathyrus oleraceus (garden pea), 457 nucleotides. RefSeq lists it as uncharacterized. The transcript is spliced from 2 exons. NCBI's taxonomy places the organism in Eukaryota, Viridiplantae, Streptophyta, Magnoliopsida, Fabales, Fabaceae. The record is from RefSeq and is a predicted model, not a curated record.
GAGUGAAUGGUAUGAGAAAAGCACUUUUGGUUGUGUUUCUUGCCGAGUACUUUCCAUUGAGAAUCUCAUUGCUUUGGAACUUCAUGGUUGAGAUAAAUUCUGAAAUAAAAAACUUUGAUGAAACAGUUUAUAUAAAUGUUAUUUAUCAAAGAAAAAGCAAUAUGCUAUGAAGCCAAAUGAAGAGCAAAGAAAGGAAAGCACAUAAAAGCUUAUGAUUGAAGGACAAGAAGAAAAAUCAGCACUGACAAAUCAGUUUUGUCUCCUUUAUUCCUGUUUGUUAUGUUGUUCCAUUUUACUAUAUUCUUGAACAAUUAUUAUCUAAUUCUCAUGAACAUGUAUUGUCACAUACAUACACAACUGUAAAAAUCAAUGAUUGUGUAACACCAAUGAAAUAUAACAAAAUAGUACUAUUGUCUUUGGUAUCUUAUGCUACAUAUAUUAUUUAUACAAUGAUUAA